This is a long non-coding RNA of Syngnathoides biaculeatus (alligator pipefish), 1386 nucleotides long. RefSeq lists it as uncharacterized. The transcript is spliced from 5 exons. Lineage: Eukaryota; Metazoa; Chordata; Actinopteri; Syngnathiformes; Syngnathidae. The record is from RefSeq and is a predicted model, not a curated record.
GGCCAAACCCUUUUGCACUCGCAGCCGGGAAUGAUCAAAGCGCGACAAAAGGUGGCCAAAGCCUUUCUGCCUGAUUCCACAUUUCCUUUCGCCGGUGACAUGUACCGCCGUCUCCCGUAACCGUCAAAGUCAUCAAUUAUCAGGCAGGAGGAGAGAAGAGAUGCAAGCAGCGCGUGAGCCGGGUAAGAAUCAUGGUGACAGGUCCGAAUAUGGGGUCUUCGUCACGUGGUUCAUGAAAGGUCACAGAUCAACCGUAAAUAAUCACUUUCGCCGCGAUAACCUUCAGCAGCGCAAAGCGCACGUCCAAUUUCCGUCUCUUUGAGACAAAAGCGCUCCUUGCCUUUGACGGUAAAGUCCUGUUACAUCCGUUACCUCCCGGCCAUGUUGUUUCACUUCUAAUCAAGCGGUGUGACAAAAGCGACACGUUAUUUUGUUGAUGCCGUUGAGACGCCUCAUCAACGCAACGUGCAUCUGCGUCGGAGUCGAGCAUGGGAAGACAGCGAGUUGAACCUUGUGCACCGGCAACCGUCUCGGGUAACGCCAGGGAGGUGAUAUGCAUGUCCCACUGGAAAGAGACCCCGGGGAUGACCCAGGACACGGUGGAGAGACUAUGUCUCUCGGCUAGCUUGGGAAGGCCUCGGGAUCCCUCCGGAAGAGCUGGAAGAAGUGGCUGGGGAAAGGGAAGUCUGGGUAUCCCUGCUGAAGCUCCUUCGCUCGCGACCCGACCCGGAAAAGCGGUAGAAAAUGGAUGGAUGGAGGAUCAUAUCAAAUCCUUAAAAAUGCUAUUCAGUCACGGAGAGUUGACAGCCUACAACAGCUGACGUGGGACCAAAGUCGCACCAUACGUCCCGGAUCGGUGGCCAAUCAAUCGUAGGGACGGAAAAGCGUUCACGCUCACAAUCCCGCAAUCAGUGAAUAAGCGGGAAUUGAACCAACACUGCAGGUGCAGAAGGCGGAGGAGUGAGCUAUUCCGCCAUCACUGACCUGACCUUCCAACUUUCCCCAGCACUCAUCAAACGGAGAACGAACAAGACUUGAGAUGACUCAGCUAGAGAAGAAGAUAGCAGAAGCCUUUGCCGUGUGCUACGAACCAUAUUUAACUGGGCAAGACGAUAUUGGGGGCCUGGUUCAGAUUUUGAGAACUUUCUAGAAAUAGACACAUUCAAGACAGUUCAUUUUGGUUGUUACAAUUUGUUUUGAAUUCAAAAUAAAACAUUACAUGCUUUCACUGUACUUUGUGUUAGCAAUAUCAUGACAAAACUGGUCGCUAUGAUUAUUUUGGUGACGAUAAUGUCAAAAUGUAAUUUUCAAAAAAAAAAAAAAAAAAAUGUCAUCUCCAUAUGACCUCCCGGGUAUUUUUUAUUCUUCACUUUCAGGAUUUUCCUU